This 73-nucleotide transfer RNA is filed under the name Stegodyphus mimosarum. It matches the Rfam family "tRNA". Rfam says of the family: Transfer RNA (tRNA) molecules are approximately 80 nucleotides in length. Their secondary structure includes four short double-helical elements and three loops (D, anti-codon, and T loops). Lineage: Eukaryota; Metazoa; Arthropoda; Arachnida; Araneae; Eresidae. The record is from Rfam by way of RNAcentral.
GCCUUCGUGGUGUAGUGGUUAGCACACUCGGCGCGUAUUCGAGAGGUCCAAGGUUCGAGUCCCGGCGAGGGCA